GCCAUGUCCACGCCCAGGAUUUGAAUCGACGAAACACUGGGCUGCCUGCAGCGGAGUGCGCAAACUUAACCACUCGGCCAGGGGGCCAGCCCCUAUUGCCUGGUUUCUGAAGAGAGCUGAUGUUAUUCUUAUCCUUGCUCCUCCAUGGAUAAGGCAUUCUUUUCCGCUUGAUUCUUCCCAGUUUUUUCCUUUUUCUUUGAUUUUCUGCAGUUUGAAUAUGAUAUACCUAGGUGUAGAUUUUUUUGGCAUUUAUCCUGCUUGUUGUUCUCUGAGCUUCCUGUAUCUGUGGUUUCCUGUCUGACAUUGAUUUCGGGAAAUUCUCAGUCUUUAUUACUUCAAAUAUUUCUUCUGUUCCUUUCUCUUUCUCUUCCUUCUGGUAUUUCCAUUACAUGUAUGUUAUACCUUUGUAGCUGUCCCACAGAUCUUGGAUAUUCUGUUCUCCUUUUUUUCUUUUUUCUGUCUUUUUUCUCUUUGCUUUUCAGUUUUGGAAGUUUCUAUUGCUGUAUCUCCAGCAUUUCUUUUUGAUUCUUUUAGUUUUCAUCUCUCUGCUUACAUUGCCCAUCUGUUCUUGAAUGUUGUCUGUUUUUUACGUUAGCAUGUUAAUACUUAUUCUCCUGGCAUAUUAAUCUUAAUUAUUUUUAAUUCCUGGUGUGAUAAUUCCGACAUGCCUGCCACAUCUGAGUCUGGUUCUGAUGCCUUUAAAGUGUGUUUUUUGCCUUUUAGUAUCCAUGUAAUGUUGAAAACCAGACAUGAUGUACCUGGUGAGAAGAACAGUGGUAAAUGGGCCUUUAGUGAUGUCGUCGUGAGGUGUCGGGGAGGGGAACGCUCUAUAGUCCUGUAUUAGGACUGAGCGAUGACUUCCAAGCUCUGUACACGCCAGACCAGAAACCAGAAGUUCAAAGCAUUCGAAAUAAAUAGUAAUCUGCUAUCGCUUCGUCCAUUGCCCUGGCUUCGUUACUGUCAAUGAGAGUUAAGCAUAUGCCCGGAUCAGGGAUGUGUUUUCAGACUGUAUGCUGUGUAAUUUAUAUCAUCUUACGUUAAACGUUCUCAGGUAAAUUUAAAGUACUGUAUUUCUGUCUUUGUAAUUUUCAAGUUUUGUUUUUCCUCUACUCCACUCUAUUCAAAAUAGAGGAAGUCGACAAAAAAGGAGGAAUCAAAUGAGCGGAAAGGAGGGGUCAAAUGGGAUCGAGAAAAUUCAUUAAUUCAGCACUUACUGAAUUCCUACUACGUGCAGUGCUCUGAGGAUACAAGAAUGAAUCAAACGAAAGGCC
RNAcentral lists this long non-coding RNA (1271 nucleotides) under Equus asinus (donkey). Its description in RNAcentral is "lncRNA (ENSEASG00005029709.1)". The record is from RNAcentral. Lineage: Eukaryota; Metazoa; Chordata; Mammalia; Perissodactyla; Equidae.